RNAcentral lists this ribosomal RNA (253 nucleotides) under uncultured bacterium. RNAcentral's name for it is "partial 16S ribosomal RNA". It matches the Rfam family "Bacterial small subunit ribosomal RNA", at positions 524 to 776 of the family's 1533-position model. The record is from RNAcentral.
GACAGAGGAUGCAAACGUUGCUCGGAGUUACUGGGCGUAAAGCGCAUGUAGGUGGUCUGAUAAGUCGGGUGUGAAAUCCCGGGGCUCAACCUCGGACGUGCACACGAUACUGUUGGACUUGAGUACUGGAGAGGAGAGCGGAAUUCCCGGUGUAGAGGUGAAAUUCGUAGAUAUCGGGAGGAACACCAGUGGCGAAGGCGGCUCUCUGGACAGAUACUGACACUGAGAUGCGAAAGCGUGGGAAGCAAACAGG